RNAcentral lists this non-coding RNA (28 nucleotides) under Homo sapiens (human). Lineage: Eukaryota; Metazoa; Chordata; Mammalia; Primates; Hominidae. The record is from RNAcentral.
CCAUGGCUGGUGUGUGCUGCUCCGCAGG